UGGGUUGUGGCUUAGAGGUAGAGCGCUUGCCUAGCAUGUGCAAGGCUCUGGGUUCGAUCCUCAGCACCACAU
This 72-nucleotide transfer RNA is filed under the name Ictidomys tridecemlineatus (thirteen-lined ground squirrel). RNAcentral's name for it is "Spermophilus tridecemlineatus (thirteen-lined ground squirrel) tRNA". It matches the Rfam family "tRNA". From Rfam's summary of the family: Transfer RNA (tRNA) molecules are approximately 80 nucleotides in length. The record is from Rfam by way of RNAcentral. Lineage: Eukaryota; Metazoa; Chordata; Mammalia; Rodentia; Sciuridae.